Molecule: ribosomal RNA, 253 nt
Filed under: uncultured bacterium
Lineage: Bacteria
Description: partial 16S ribosomal RNA
Rfam family: Bacterial small subunit ribosomal RNA
Source: RNAcentral
UACGUAGGGUGCAAGCGUUGUCCGGAAUUAUUGGGCGUAAAGAGCUCGUAGGCGGUCUGUUGCGUCGGCUGUGAAAACCCGGGGCUCAACCCCGGGCCUGCAGCCGAUACGGGCAGACUAGAGUUCGGCAGGGGAGACUGGAAUUCCUGGUGUAGCGGUGAAAUGCGCAGAUAUCGGGAGGAACACCAGUGGCGAAGGCGGUUGCCUGGGGCUUUGCUGACGCUGAGGCGCGAAAGCGUGGGGAGCGAUCCGG